RNAcentral lists this ribosomal RNA (591 nucleotides) under Delftia tsuruhatensis. Its description in RNAcentral is "bacterial SSU rRNA". It matches the Rfam family "Bacterial small subunit ribosomal RNA", at positions 67 to 655 of the family's 1533-position model. The record is from RNAcentral. Lineage: Bacteria; Pseudomonadati; Pseudomonadota; Betaproteobacteria; Burkholderiales; Comamonadaceae.
GGUAACAGGUCUUCGGACGCUGACGAGCUGGCGAACGGGUGAGUAAUACAUCGGAACGUGCCCAGUCGUGGGGGAUAACUACUCGAAAGAGUAGCUAAUACCGCAUACGAUCUGAGGAUGAAAGCGGGGGACCUUCGGGCCUCGCGCGAUUGGAGCGGCCGAUGGCAGAUUAGGUAGUUGGUGGGAUAAAAGCUUACCAAGCCGACGAUCUGUAGCUGGUCUGAGAGGACGACCAGCCACACUGGGACUGAGACACGGCCCAGACUCCUACGGGAGGCAGCAGUGGGGAAUUUUGGACAAUGGGCGAAAGCCUGAUCCAGCAAUGCCGCGUGCAGGAUGAAGGCCUUCGGGUUGUAAACUGCUUUUGUACGGAACGAAAAAGUCUCCUCUAAUACAGGAGGCCCAUGACGGUACCGUAAGAAUAAGCACCGGCUAACUACGUGCCAGCAGCCGCGGUAAUACGUAGGGUGCGAGCGUUAAUCGGAAUUACUGGGCGUAAAGCGUGCGCAGGCGGUUUUGUAAGACAGAGGUGAAAUCCCCGGGCUCAACCUGGGAACUGCCUUUGUGACUGCAAGGCUAGAGUACGGCAGA